RNAcentral lists this long non-coding RNA (358 nucleotides) under Zalophus californianus (California sea lion). RNAcentral's name for it is "lncRNA (ENSZCAG00015022829.1)". Lineage: Eukaryota; Metazoa; Chordata; Mammalia; Carnivora; Otariidae. The record is from RNAcentral.
UGGAUGGAAGACAAGGAUGAAAAUGGGUGCAAGAAGGCAGAAAACGCUUAAAUGGGAUUAUUCCGGAACUGGAUGAACUAUGAAGGGGACUCUGAAGACGGGAACUUGCCAGACGCAUGAAUGUGACUGAAAUCCGAGUGCAGGUGUGGUUUAAGAACAAGAGGGCCAAAUGUAGGAGAGAUGAGAGAGCAUCAAUGCUCAGAAAUGCACCACCUGCUAACCUGGACCACAUUUUCGUCUUCAUGUUGGAUGGGUCUAAUAUGCCGUCGCGUUCAGAAGCCAGAUUGGAGAUGGGUUCUUUUGGUGCCACUGACACCCUGCCACGCUUACCUCCCCUGUAGAUGUAUUAUCAAUAAAG